This 986-nucleotide unclassified non-coding RNA is filed under the name Hevea brasiliensis (rubber tree). The record is from RNAcentral. Lineage: Eukaryota; Viridiplantae; Streptophyta; Magnoliopsida; Malpighiales; Euphorbiaceae.
GCAGCGUUCUACAAAGACCCCUCGCUCAGUCCACCGUAGCUCGCUCCGCUCAGCAGUGGGGCCAGACAUGGCCGCUGCUCCCUCUCCCGCCCCCCUCUCUCUCCUCACCUUCUCCGCCGGCGUCCGGCCGCACCCACUCCCGUCUCUCACCGCCGGCCGGGUCAUCUCCUUCCGCCGUUUGUCGGUCCGCUGCUCCUCCGACGACAACGGCCGCCCCUCCGCCGACAACUCCAGUUUCUGCAUCAUCGAAGGCCCGGAGACGGUGCAGGACUUCGUCCAGCUCCAGAUGCAGGAGAUCCAGGACAACAUCAGGAGCCGACGGAACAAGAUCUUUCUCUUGAUGGAGGAGGUUAGGAGGCUGCGGGUGCAGCAGCGGAUAAAGAGCUCCGAGUUCGCGAACGGGAGCGAGGAGAAUGAGAUGCCGGACAUUCCGUCGACGAUUCCGUUUCUUCCUCAUAUGACUCCAAACACUUUGAGGAAGCUGUAUUUGACUUCGUUCAGUAUGGCGGCUGGAAUCAUCAUCUUUGGCGGCCUUAUUGCCCCUGUGCUAGAACUAAAACUAGGCUUGGGUGGAACUUCCUAUGAAGAUUUUAUACGCAAUAUGCAUCUGCCUCUGCAGUUGAGUCAGGUUGAUCCCAUAGUCGCAUCCUUCUCUGGUGGGGCAGUGGGGGUGAUCUCAGCCUUGAUGUUGGUAGAGGCCAACAAUGUUGAACGACAAGAAAAGAAGAGGUGCAAAUAUUGCCAUGGGAAUGGAUACCUGGCAUGUGCUCGAUGCUCUGCUAGUGGGGUACUUGUUAGUGCAAAACCUGUUUCCAUCACUGGCUGUUGCGAUGCUCCUCUGCAAGCUCCUACAACUCAAAGGUGUCCAAACUGCUCAGGGGCUGGAAAGGUAAUGUGCCCGACAUGCCUAUGCACUGGAAUGGUGAUGGCGAGCGAACAUGAUCCCCGUAUUGAUCCAUUUGACUGAUGUAAAAUGUCAGAUCUCA